Long non-coding RNA from Ictalurus punctatus (channel catfish), 1648 nucleotides. NCBI's taxonomy places the organism in Eukaryota, Metazoa, Chordata, Actinopteri, Siluriformes, Ictaluridae. The record is from Ensembl.
ACCUACCAUCACACCACCAUACCUACCCUCAUACAUACCACCACACCAUCAGACUUACCAUCACACCAUCACACCUACCACCACACUUAACAUAUCUCCCCAAACACAUUCAUCUCUAAACGUUUUAUUUACUAACAACACACACACACAACACUGUCACACUGAAUUUAGGACUAAAUUAAUCUGGAUUAAUGCUCCAUGUAUGUGUGAGUGGUUUCAGGAUUAUUACUACAAUAAAAUACACCAUUAAUCAAAAAAAAAAAAACAUUAUUUUUAAAUGACACUUUGCCACCUACAUACACAACACACCACAAAUCACAGUGUUCUGCACUAAUACAAGUCCUGCGCUAGUACAAGUCCUGCGUUAGUACAAGUCCUGGGUUAGUACAAGUCCUGGGUUAGUACAAGUCCUGGGUUAGUACAAGUCCUGCGUUAGUACAAGUCCUGGGUUAGUACAAGUCCUGGGUUAGUACCUGUCCUGCACUAGUACAAGUCCUGCGCUAGUACAAGUCCUGCGCUAGUACAAGUCCUGGGUUAGUACAAGUCCUGGGUUAGUACCUGUCCUGCACUAGUACAAGUCCUGCGCUAGUACAAGUCCUGCGUUAGUACAAGUCCUGGGUUAGUACAAGUCCUGGGUUAGUACCCGUCCUGCGUUAGUACCCGUCCUGCGUUAGUACAAGUCCUGGGUUAUACCCGUCCUGCGCUAGUACAAGUCCUGGGUUAGUACCCGUCCUGCGCUAGUACAAGUCCUGGGUUAGUACCCGUCCUGCGCUAGUACAAGUCCUGGGUUAGUACAAGUCCUGGGUUAGUACAAGUCCUGGGUUAGUACCCGUCCUGCGCUAGUACAAGUCCUGGGUUAGUACAAGUCCUGGGUUAGUACCCGUCCUGGGUUAGUACCCGUCCUGGGUUAGUACAAGUCCUGGGUUAGUACCCCUUUCUAACCAUCUCGAGGUCUGAAAGUUAACCAUAAAUCUGCGGCUAAUCCGAAAUCAGCGAGGUGUUACUGUUUAUACUGCUGUACUCGCUAAACUAACACUCCGCUAGCUAACCGGGGAAGUUAUCCAGCACAGCUAGCAGUGAAUAAACCUUUAACAGUUAACCAUGUUAGCUAGCUAGCACGUCAUAAACACCGUGUAACAAAACAAAACAAAACACAGUGAAAAGAUCAGAUGGAAAUAACUAGCUUAGCACGACACACGAGCGCAGCAUUAAGUUACUCACCUCAGUCAAGUUUCCGACCCAGAAACAGGGGAAAAAACAACAACCCUGACUGUUAAACUCCUUCUUUAAUAUUGUACUCGUGGAUAACGAGGUAAUUAAUCCAUGCUAGGUGCUAAAGGUGAACCCGGAGCUACUUUCCAUGCAGUAAGAUAGCUUAGCUUAGACGAUACGUCGUCACUAGCUCCAACACUCUAAACUAGCGCGUGAGCUAGCUAACUAAAGUGCUUAGUCCUGUCGCAAAACUUGUUUGUUUUGUUUUUUUUGGAAAUGUUCACGUUUGUAAACAUCCUCAUGACUUUGCGGUGUGUUUAUUUAAUCUUCUCGCCUCCAUCCUGGGGAAGGUGUUUCAUUAAACUCGGCUGGUAAGGCGGAGUGUAACUGUUUACAGCUACAUGAGCUACACCGUUAGCCUAGCACCCCCCCUCUC